AUGGGACAUUUCGGCGUCAAGAAGACAGAAGACAUCCUUGCUGGUCAUUUUUUCUGGCCAAAAAUGAGAAGGGAUGUGGAGAGAUAUGUUUCAUGCUGCAUGACAUGCCAAAAAGCUAAGUCACGAUUGAACCCACAUGGUUUAUAUAUGCCUCUUCUUGUUCCUAGCACUCCUUGGGAAGAUAUAUCUAUGGAUUUUGUAUUAGGACUGCCUAGAACACGGCGGGGGAGGGAUAGUAUAUUUGUUAUUAUCGAUAGAUUCUCUAAGAUGGCACAUUUUAUACCUUGUCAUAAAAGUGACGAUGCUACUCACAUUGCUGAUUUGUUCUUUCGUGAAGUAGUUCGUUUGCAUGGUGUGCCAAAUACAAUUGUUUCUGAUCAUGACACCAAAUUUCUUAGCCACUUUUGGAGGGUGUUGUGGACAAAAUUGGGGACUAAGCUUUUAUUUAGUACUACAUGUCAUCCUCAAACUGAUGGUCAAACUGAAGUGGUUAAUCGUACACUGUCUACUAUGCUUAGGGCUGUUUUGAAGAACUUAAAAAUGUGGGAAGAAUGUCUACCUCAUGUAGAGUUUGCUUAUAAUCGUUCCGUUCAUUCCACCACAAAAUUAUGCCCUUUUGAGAUUGUUUAUGGAUUUAUACCUCGUGCACCAAUUGAUUUAUUACCUAUUCCAUCUUCGGAGAAGGUAAACCUUGAUGCUAAAGAACGUGCUGAAUUAGUAUUAAAAUGCAUGAUAUGA
RNAcentral lists this ribosomal RNA (738 nucleotides) under Triticum aestivum (bread wheat). RNAcentral's name for it is "partial small subunit ribosomal RNA". The record is from RNAcentral. Lineage: Eukaryota; Viridiplantae; Streptophyta; Magnoliopsida; Poales; Poaceae.